This 312-nucleotide ribosomal RNA is filed under the name uncultured bacterium. RNAcentral's name for it is "bacterial SSU rRNA". It matches the Rfam family "Bacterial small subunit ribosomal RNA", at positions 202 to 507 of the family's 1533-position model. The record is from RNAcentral.
GGGCUUCGGCUCUCGCUAUUGGAUGGGCCUGCGUGAGAUUAGCUAGUUGGUGAGGUAAUGGCUCACCAAGGCGACGAUCUCUAGCUGGUCUGAGAGGAUGAUCAGCCACACUGGGACUGAGACACGGCCCAGACUCCUACGGGAGGCAGCAGUGGGGAAUAUUGCACAAUGGGCGCAAGCCUGAUGCAGCCAUGCCGCGUGUGUGAAGAAGGCUUUCGGGUUGUAAAGCACUUUCAGUGGGGAGGAAGGCCUCGUAGUUAAUAGCUGCGAGGAUUGACGUUACCCACAGAAGAAGCACCGGCUAACUCCGUG